AUUUCCAAUCUCAUUCCAAACCCAGUUCUUCUUCCUCAACUCUGAAACACCCAAACCUAACCUUUGAGAGGGUGACAUUCUCCUUCGUCUGUGCUCGAUCUUCGACUUCCACGACCACACCCCAUCAGUGGGGAGCUAUUCAACUCAAGCUUCUGGAAACAAAGAAAUUCAGAAGGAAAUGAGUGAAAAACCAAGCGUGGUUGUUAGCUUGGACUAGAAGAAGAAGAUCAAGUGUGAGUACUACUUUCAGGGUUUGUUCAUGGGCCUCUACUUUCACUCAAGGAGCAGAUUGAGAAGGUUGCAUGUUGCUGCUUCACUAACAAGGAAGUCGAUGCUCAUAUACCCAAUUACCCCAACUUGCCACCACAGUUAAUUUGUCAGCUUCACAAUGUGACUAUGCAUGACUAGAUUAAAUUACUAAAAGAAACGGUGUUGCAAUUUUAAAGUGUGGCCAAACUUAAAGGUUCUACCAUUAUAGGAAAAAGUGUUUCUUCAUAGCCUUGUGGACUAAGUUGAGGAGAAGAAGGAACCACCAAGAACCGGCCACAGUAAGAGGUUUCACCUUCCCAUUGCAUACCAUGGGCGAGCAUCAUCUGUUGUAAUCUCUGGAACGGACAUUAUUCGACCGAGG
Humulus lupulus (European hop) is the source of this 631-nucleotide long non-coding RNA. RefSeq lists it as uncharacterized. The record is from RefSeq and is a predicted model, not a curated record. The transcript has 5 exons. Lineage: Eukaryota; Viridiplantae; Streptophyta; Magnoliopsida; Rosales; Cannabaceae.